RNAcentral lists this non-coding RNA (94 nucleotides) under Frateuria sp. RNAcentral's name for it is "Fluoride sequence". It matches the Rfam family "Fluoride riboswitch aptamer (crcB RNA motif)". The record is from RNAcentral. Lineage: Bacteria; Pseudomonadati; Pseudomonadota; Gammaproteobacteria; Lysobacterales; Rhodanobacteraceae.
GUCGCACAGGGAGAUGGCAUGCCUCCCGUUCCCUCGUGGAACGAACCGCCCCACGCCUUGACCGAUCGACGGGGUUGAUGAUGCCUGCAUCACC